UGAAUCUAGCCAAGACACCAGACCACC
Molecule: non-coding RNA, 27 nt
Filed under: Mus musculus (house mouse)
Lineage: Eukaryota; Metazoa; Chordata; Mammalia; Rodentia; Muridae
Source: RNAcentral